CUUGCGUUCUAUUUUGUUGGUUUUCAGAACGAAAGUAAUGAUUAAGAGGGACAGACGGGGUCAUUUGUACUGCCACGUUAGAGGUGAAAUUCUUGGAUCGUGGCAAGACAAACUACUGCGAAGGCAUUUGACAAGAAUGUUUUCAUUAAUCAAGAACGAAAGUUAUGGGUUCGAAGGCGAUCAGAUACCGCCCUAGUCAUAACCGUAAACGAUAUAGACUAGGCGUCUGCUCGGGUUUAAUAUGACCGAGUAGAAGUCUUCCCGGAAACGAAAGUCUUCGUAUUCCGGGGGAAGUAUAGCUGCAAAGCCGAAACUUAAAGGAAUUGACGGAAGGGCACCACCAGGGGUGGAGCCUGCGGCUUAAUUUGACUCAACACGGGGAAACUCACC
This 390-nucleotide ribosomal RNA is filed under the name uncultured eukaryote. RNAcentral describes it as "SSU rRNA". It matches the Rfam family "Eukaryotic small subunit ribosomal RNA", at positions 828 to 1219 of the family's 1831-position model. The record is from RNAcentral.